UACGAAGGGGGCUAGCGUUGCUCGGAAUUACUGGGCGUAAAGCGCACGUAGGCGGAUUGUUAAGUCAGGGGUGAAAUCCUGGAGCUCAACUCCAGAACUGCCUUUGAUACUGAAGAUCUUGAGUUCGGGAGAGGUGAGUGGAACUGCGAGUGUAGAGGUGAAAUUCGUAGAUAUUCGCAAGAACACCAGUGGCGAAGGCGGCUCACUGGCCCGAUACUGACGCUGAGGCACGAAAGCGUGGGGAGCAAACAGG
RNAcentral lists this ribosomal RNA (253 nucleotides) under uncultured bacterium. Its description in RNAcentral is "partial 16S ribosomal RNA". It matches the Rfam family "Bacterial small subunit ribosomal RNA", at positions 524 to 776 of the family's 1533-position model. The record is from RNAcentral.